Long non-coding RNA from Brassica napus (rape), 2112 nucleotides. RefSeq lists it as uncharacterized. NCBI's taxonomy places the organism in Eukaryota, Viridiplantae, Streptophyta, Magnoliopsida, Brassicales, Brassicaceae. The record is from RefSeq and is a predicted model, not a curated record. The transcript has 2 exons.
AGACUGAAAAUUCAGCCAAUCACGUUGCAGCAUUUCCUCCACGUCAGACAAUAGAAUCGCGGUUUGGGCUUUUGUGGUCUUUGGUUUUGUAGUUUGGGUUCCAUGCUCUGCACCGAUGAUCGAUUUGUUCUUCACAAACAAACGAUCGAUGGUCAAUUGACUUUCACGAUGUGGAGUGAAACGAAUCGUCAUGGAAAAUCUCUGAGUUAAAUUUCUAUUGCGUCGUUUUGUAUUUCCUUUAAUUAAUGUAAAUGUCUUCAUCUUCUAUAUUUUCUCUCUCAGACCUGCAAACUCUGCAACAAUGGAUUCCACGGACUCUCAUAUCCUCCCAAUCUCCACUUCCCAAACCGUUCCCUCCGCCGCUCCUUCUUUCGUAGAAUCUCAACCACAUCGUAACCCAUGUGUUCUCGCCUUCAUCAACCGAGUUUCAGAAACUGUCACAAUCGGAUCUUUGUGCUUUUUCUCACUGAUGUUGGAUCUUUUGUCUCGGCUGUUAUGGUCGGAGUCGGUCUUCCUUUUGUUUUUUCUUCAUCUUUUGUUUAUUUUUAAGUUUAAGAGUCAGAAAAUCUCAUUUUGGUUAAUUUUUGCUUGAUUCCUGGAUUGCUGAUAUAAGCUGUGAAUUGAAAUUUAGGGUUAGCUUUCCUGAAAAUAUAUGGAUUCGUUAGAUAGUUUUUUGUUCCUCUAUUGAAGAAUAGCAUGGCUGUAUAUGUUUAUUGACAACAUAUGCUACUGUUUUAGGUUCCCUUUGGUAAAAUUGUCCGAUGUAGGAGUGUUCGGGUAACGAUCAAUGAUCUCUAUCUUUUCGAUCCUCAUUGUUUAACCUAACUGGAUAUUUUGUUUCAUGCCCUAAUUGUGUAUAGCAAUAUGUGCUUUAAAAGAAGUCACUUGCAGUGGAAGUUUGAGCUCAGGCUGGAUGCAAAUUUAAUGAAAUAAGAUAUAUAUUUUUCUCUGCAGGGAAAGAGUUUGUUUACCUCGUGAAAAAAAAAACAAAUGAUCGGUUGACCGGAUGGGUUCUGCAUCGACGGUUCUACACUGGGUGCAUGAGAAUCUGAGCAAGAUAGAUGAAAAGAGUCUCUCUUUCUGCAGCCGGAGAUGGUUGUAUUGCAAAGGUAACUUCCACCAAGGAAGCCCAUUUAUUCAUUCAUAUAGAGAAAAAAAAAUUUCAUAGGCUACAUCUUUGACCUUAUGAGUCAAACUGUGUACUUCUCAAUCCUAGAUGAUAGAAAAAUGAAGAACCCAAAGUAGCAAGGAAGGUGCGUGUCCAACUUUUUAGUAACCUUUUUCUUAAAGACAUGAGAUACAUUUUGACAUAGAUUGCAAGAACAGAUGUUGAGCUACAAGAACACUUCAACACUGACUCUGUCUUUACUCUUGCUCAUCAAAAAAUUCCUUCCAGUACUCCGAUUCUCUUUAUAAGAACAGAGUUUUGGCUACCUGGCUCAGGGCCUGAUUUCGGUGUGCCGCCUUUCUCCGGUAUCAUUGCUAUUAUCCUUUUAAAAAUUUUAUUAGCUCUUCAAGCUUUGUUAGAAACCAACAUGAUCAAAAUCAACCAACCGUGACCAGGAACCAGUUUUUGGCAUCAGCUUAUUUCAAACCCUGAAACUGCAAAGUUUUCUUUUGUCUUGGACUAAUAUUUUCAUGUAAUGACAGUCUUAGCAAUGUGGAUUGCAGCUGCGCUUUGGGAACUUUAAGUUUGUGUAAAGAUCAAGAAGUUGCUUAACUCUAAGCCAAAGCUAAUCUUAAAUUACACUAGCAAAGCCAAGGCUAUCACUUCUCAUUUAGUCCUCUUUUCAGUUUUCAUAUGUAGUGGUUUCGAAGAGAUCAGUGUAUUCAUCUUCUAAGCUGGGAAAAGACUUAUACAAGCUGAACUAAAGAAGUAUGUUCCUCUUAUAGCUCCAGAGGUUUUGAAUGCUUAAGAUAAGGAUGAAAAGAUCUAUGAAGAUGCAUGUGUCUAUGAGCAAGGUUUCCAUGAUAUAUACCAUAGUACGGCUGAGGACAUGAGCCAAGCCAUGAACAAAUAAAUCAUUCUUGAACUGAUGAAACUCUCUUUUUGUUUCUUUUAAACAACUUAUCCUUUUCUCAUUUGGAUAGAAAAUAUAUUUUCUCAGCUAA